Ricinus communis (castor bean) is the source of this 870-nucleotide long non-coding RNA. RefSeq lists it as uncharacterized. NCBI's taxonomy places the organism in Eukaryota, Viridiplantae, Streptophyta, Magnoliopsida, Malpighiales, Euphorbiaceae. The transcript has 3 exons. The record is from RefSeq and is a predicted model, not a curated record.
GACGGUUAAGGCGUUAAUUCCGCUAAACCGUACAUGUCUGUUGCGGAUUCUAGUGUUAGGGGUGUUUUUGUCAAUUAAUAAAAAGUUAGGAGCGUUGUUUAUUAUUUUUAUUUCUAUUAAUCAUUAUUUUCUGGGUUCUCCACGUGGGAAGUAGAGAGAGAAAAAAAAAAAGGAAAAGAAGAAAGAGUCGUUAAUAUGUUAGCGGCAGGCGAUUGGUGAGUCAGCGAGUCAGUUUGUUUUCGUUGUCAGGUUAAACAACGUCGUUUUAGGGAUUGGAAUCUGAUUUCCAUAGGGGAAUAGAUGUGAACGUUUUGCAGCCGAUUUUAUUGAAACUGAAAUCUUUUUUCCUCCUGAGUUGAGUUUAGUUCCUCAAGAAAAACUAAUGCCGUUCACAUCCAACAACCGACCAUUUUAUUUGUUUUGGGUUGAUGUCAUUUAAUUAUAUAUCUCAGGUUGAAUAGUAUCUAUUGAAAUGGUCAUGUUCCAUUAUAUCAGUGAGAGGUUAGACAGCGGUUGUCUAUUUUCAAGGAGUGGAAGGAUGUAUUCACAAGGAGAUCUUUCCAGGCGAUUUCUUGUUUUGGCGAGCUCUUAGCUCGCUUGAGUAAUGGAAUCUGUGACAUGAUCCAAUGCACAGCAAAUCUGGGAGAUUGAUGCUGACUAUGAUGGAAACUCCAAAAUAUUUCUCCAACAGAAAUAGAAGGCAAAAUCUCCACAAUUUUCAACAAGGGAUUUUGUAUAAAAAUUUCCUCUUUGUCCAUAAGCUUGAACACUACAUGUGACAGCCUGCUAUCAGGUCAUUUAUCUUUGAUUAUCAUAUAUUUAUUUUACUAUUUCCAUUUGGAAAUGGUGUCACAUUAUUCAACCUUAACA